Pteropus alecto (black flying fox) is the source of this 287-nucleotide long non-coding RNA. RefSeq lists it as uncharacterized. The transcript is spliced from 2 exons. The record is from RefSeq and is a predicted model, not a curated record. Lineage: Eukaryota; Metazoa; Chordata; Mammalia; Chiroptera; Pteropodidae.
UGACACUAAGAAAGUCUACUCACUCCAGGUAGAGACCCCAUCCUCAAACAAAGAGAUGCCCUCUGGAGACAUUAAAAAAGGUAAAUCUCUCCUUCAUGGCCCAGGGUGAGUGACUUCUCAUCGAAUGAUUUUAAAGGCUGCAAUAGAGUUUGGGUCAGAACUCUGAAGUAUAAAAAUGUCAUUUGCAGCUGUUGUGACCAGGACAUUGUUAACCAAGGCUACCCCAUGGAGAGUGAACUUUGAGGAGAAAAUUCUUCAGAGUCAAGAAUAAAGCUGAAGUUUCUGGA